RNAcentral lists this ribosomal RNA (450 nucleotides) under uncultured bacterium. RNAcentral describes it as "bacterial SSU rRNA". It matches the Rfam family "Bacterial small subunit ribosomal RNA", at positions 354 to 796 of the family's 1533-position model. The record is from RNAcentral.
GUGGGGAAUAUUGCGCAAUGGGCGAAAGCCUGACGCAGCGACGCCGCGUGAGGGAUGAAGGUCUUCGGAUCGUAAACCUCUGUCAGCAGGGAAGAACGGUCACUGUGCUAAUCAGCAGUGAAUUGACGGUACCUGCAAAGGAAGCACCGGCUAACUCCGUGCCAGCAGCCGCGGUAAUACGGAGGGUGCGAGCGUUAAUCGGAAUUACUGGGCGUAAAGCGCUCGUAGGCGGUAUGUCAAGUCAAGGGUGAAAUCCCCGCGCUCAACGUGGGAACUGCCUUUGAAACUGGCAAACUGGAGUGUGUGAGAGGAUAGUGGAAUUCCAGGUGUAGGAGUGAAAUCCGUAGAUAUCUGGAGGAACAUCAGUGGCGAAGGCGACUAUCUGGCACAUAACUGACGCUGAGGAGCGAAAGCGUGGGUAGCAAACAGGAUUAGAAACCCUAGUAGUCC